Molecule: ribosomal RNA, 253 nt
Filed under: uncultured bacterium
Lineage: Bacteria
Description: partial 16S ribosomal RNA
Rfam family: Bacterial small subunit ribosomal RNA
Source: RNAcentral
GACAGAGGGGACAAGCGUUGCUCGGAAUUACUGGGCGUAAAGGGCGCGUAGGCGGGAUGGCAAGUCGGUCGUGAAAUCCUUCGGCUCAACCGAAGAACGUCGAUCGAUACUGCUGUUCUUGAGGGUUGCAGAGGAGACUGGAAUUCCCGGUGUAGCGGUGAAAUGUGUAGAGAUCGGGAGGAACACCGGUGGCGAAGGCGGGUCUCUGGGCAAUUCCUGACGCUGAGGCGCGAAAGCGUGGGGAGCAAACGGG